Molecule: ribosomal RNA, 369 nt
Filed under: Lopadorrhynchus sp. USNM IZ 1448688
Lineage: Eukaryota; Metazoa; Annelida; Polychaeta; Phyllodocida; Lopadorrhynchidae
Also listed under: 5 other names
Description: SSU rRNA
Rfam family: Eukaryotic small subunit ribosomal RNA
Source: RNAcentral
AUGCAUGUCUAAGUACAGACUUUUACAUAGUGAAACCGCGAAUGGCUCAUUAAAUCAGUUAUGGUUCCUUAGAUCGUACAAUUUCCUACAUGGAUAACUGUGGCAAUUCUAGAGCUAAUACAUGCAACGAAGCUCCGCCCUUUGGGGAAGAGCGCUUUUAUUAGAUCAAAACCAAUACGGGUUCUGCCCGUUCCGUUGGUGACUCUGGAUAACUUUGUGCUGAUCGCACGGCCUAGUGCUGGCGACGUAUCUUUCAAAUGUCUGCCCUAUCAACUGUCGAUGGUACGUGACAUGCCUACCAUGGUUUUUACGGGUAACGGAGAAUCAGGGUUCGAUUCCGGAGAGGGAGCAUGAGAAACGGCUACCACA